RNAcentral lists this transfer RNA (72 nucleotides) under Camelus bactrianus (Bactrian camel). It matches the Rfam family "tRNA". From Rfam's summary of the family: Transfer RNA (tRNA) molecules are approximately 80 nucleotides in length. Their secondary structure includes four short double-helical elements and three loops (D, anti-codon, and T loops). Lineage: Eukaryota; Metazoa; Chordata; Mammalia; Artiodactyla; Camelidae. RNAcentral also lists the same sequence under 2 other names. The record is from Rfam by way of RNAcentral.
GGUGGUAUAGCUCAGUGGUAGAGCACAAGCUUAGUGUGCACAAGGUCCUGGGUUCAAUCCCCAGUACCUCCA